CACCGCGGUUAUACGAGAGGCCUAAGUUGACAGACAGCGGCGUAAAGAGUGGUUAAGGAAAACGCAAAACUAAAGCCGAACGCCUUCAGAACUGUCAUACGUUUUCGAAGGUAUGAAGCUCACCCACGAAAGUGGCUUUAUUUCCCCUGAACCCACGAAAGCUAAGGAA
Molecule: ribosomal RNA, 169 nt
Filed under: Naucrates ductor
Lineage: Eukaryota; Metazoa; Chordata; Actinopteri; Carangiformes; Carangidae
Description: partial 12S ribosomal RNA
Source: RNAcentral